Molecule: transfer RNA, 77 nt
Filed under: Deltaproteobacteria bacterium
Lineage: Bacteria; Pseudomonadati; Myxococcota; Myxococcia
Also listed under: 2 other names
Description: tRNA-Ile
Rfam family: tRNA
About the family: Transfer RNA (tRNA) molecules are approximately 80 nucleotides in length. Their secondary structure includes four short double-helical elements and three loops (D, anti-codon, and T loops). Further hydrogen bonds mediate the characteristic L-shaped molecular structure. tRNAs have two regions of fundamental functional importance: the anti-codon, which is responsible for specific mRNA codon recognition, and the 3' end, to which the tRNAs corresponding amino acid is attached (by aminoacyl-tRNA synthetases). tRNAs cope with the degeneracy of the genetic code in two manners: having more than one tRNA (with a specific anti-codon) for a particular amino acid; and 'wobble' base-pairing, i.e. permitting non-standard base-pairing at the 3rd anti-codon position.
Source: RNAcentral
GGGCCCAUAGCUCAGUUUGGCAGAGCCACCGGCUCAUAACCGGUAGGUCCCUGGUUCGAUCCCAGGUGGGCCCACCA